Molecule: ribosomal RNA, 1487 nt
Filed under: metagenome
Description: bacterial SSU rRNA
Rfam family: Bacterial small subunit ribosomal RNA
Source: RNAcentral
AGGGUUUGAUCCUGGCUCAGAACGAACGUUGGCGGCGUGGAUUAGGCAUGCAGGUCGAGCGAAUCUCGUGGGGGCAACUCUGCGGGGGAAGCGGCGAAAGGGGCAGUAAGGCAUGGGUAACCUACCCCGAGGUCGGGCAUAGCCAUCCUAACGGGUGGGUAAUUCCCGGCGUGUCACCUGGGUCGCAUGGCCUGGGUGGGAAAGAGUUUCGCCUUGGGAGGGGCUCAUGUGGUAUUAGCUAGUUGGUGAGGUGACGGCUCACCAAGGCCAAGAUGCCUAGCGGGUGUGAGAGCACGACCCGCGCCACUGGCACUGUGACACUGGCCACACUCCUACGGGAGGCUGCAGUCGAGGAUCUUCGGCAAUGGGCGCAAGCCUGACCGAGCGACGCCGCGUGUGCGAUGAAGGCCUUCGGGUUGUAAAGCACUUUCGGAGGGGAGGAAGGGCAACUUGACCGACCCUCAGAAGAAGCACGGGCUAAGUUCGUGCCAGCAGCCGCGGUAGGACGAACCGUGCGAACGUUGUUCGGAAUCACUGGGCUUAAAGGGCGCGUAGGCGGUCCCGCGCGUCCGGGGUGAAAGCCUCCAGCUUAACUGGAGAAGUGCCCCGGAUACGGCGGGACUCGAGCGGGAUAGGGGCGUGUGGAACUUCCGGUGGAGCGGUGAAAUGCGUAGAUAUCGGAAGGAACGCCGGUGGCGAAAGCGACACGCUGGAUCCCUCCUGACGCUGAGGCGCGAAAGCCAGGGGAGCAAACGGGAUUAGAUACCCCGGUAGUCCUGGCCCUAAACGAUGGGUACUAGACUGUAGACUGACAUGGGUUUACAGUCGAAGCAAAAGUGUUAAGUACCCCGCCUGGGGAGUAUGGUCGCAAGGCUGAAACUCAAAGGAAUUGACGGGGGCUCACACAAGCGGUGGAGCAUGUGGCUUAAUUCGAGGCUACGCGAAGAACCUUAUCCUGGGCUUGACAUGUUCGAAAGAGGUGGGAAGUACCCUGCGGAAACGUAAGGGGAACGGUAUCCAAUCCGGAACCUACCACAGGUGCUGCAUGGCUGUCGUCAGCUCGUGUCGUGAGAUGUCGGGUUAAGUCCCAUAACGAGCGCAACCCUUGUCUUCAGUUGCCAGCGGGUCAAGCCGGGGACUCUGGAGAGACUGCCGGUGUUAAACCGGAGGAAGGUGGGGAUGACGUCAAGUCCUCAUGGCCUUUAUGCCCAGGGCUGCACACGUGCUACAAUGGCACGCACAAAGGGAAGCAAGCCCGCGAGGGGGAGCUAAUCCCAAAAAAACGUGCCUCAGUUCAGAUUGAAGGCUGCAACUCGCCUUCAUGAAGCUGGAAUCGCUAGUAAUCGCGGGUCAGCAACACCGCGGUGAAUGUGUUCCUGAGCCUUGUACACACCGCCCGUCAAGCCACGAAAGGGAGGAGCCGCCGAAGUCGCCUUAACCGGUGCCGAAGCGGAGAUUCCUGAUUGGGACUAAGUCGUAACAAGGUA